RNA transcript from Entelurus aequoreus (snake pipefish), 543 nucleotides. It is a transcript of the gene named sarcolipin-like, with no coding region annotated. Lineage: Eukaryota; Metazoa; Chordata; Actinopteri; Syngnathiformes; Syngnathidae. The transcript is spliced from 3 exons. The record is from RefSeq and is a predicted model, not a curated record.
ACAACACAAGUCAUCAAGUGGCGCUCAAAGACUGAAGGGGUUUUUGUGUUUUUGGAGUGGAAAUGAAGAGGAAUGUCCCAAGUUGACCGCUUGUGACAUCGCAGAAAAGGACCGGUCCGCAGAGUCCCUAAAGCGCCGUAGAGCAGCGUGCGCCAUGGACCGCUCCGUGCAGGAACUCUUCCUCAACUUCAUGAUCGUCCUGGUCACCGUGCUGCUGAUGUGGCUGCUGGUCAAGACCUACCAGGACUAACCUGCUUUCCCACUUCCUGUGUGGGGACUCACACACAGUUUUAGUAUGAAAGCAAAAGGCGGACAGCUUGUAAAUCUCCACUGUGUAUGGAAUGCGCCGUAGAGGUGUCGGUUUCUCAGAUCUGGACGGCUACAGGAAGGGCCUUAUCAGGACCCGAAAUCUACGAGCAGAGAGGGGGCAAACCCGACACCGCUCCAAGCACCUUUUGUUUGAACUGUUUAUGACCCCAGUGCAGCUGCUGCAUAAUGAGACCCCCUCCCCUUAGAAGCAGCUGCAGCUAUGUAAUCAGGGAA